AGAAUGAACGCUGGCGGCGUGGUUAAGACAUGCAAGUCGAACGGGAUUAACGGUGUAGCAAUACAUCGUUGAUCCAGUGGCGAACGGGUGAGUAACACGUGAGCAACCUGCCCUUAGCUCCGGGAUAGCUCCGGGAAACCGGAAUUAAUACCGGAUAUGACCUAGGCCGACAUCGGCUGUGGUGGAAAGUUUUUCGGCUGGGGAUGGACUCGCGGCCUAUCAGCUUGUUGGUGGGGUAAUGGCCUACCAAGGCGACGACGGGUA
This 264-nucleotide ribosomal RNA is filed under the name uncultured bacterium. RNAcentral describes it as "partial small subunit ribosomal RNA". It matches the Rfam family "Bacterial small subunit ribosomal RNA", at positions 26 to 285 of the family's 1533-position model. The record is from RNAcentral.